Molecule: ribosomal RNA, 264 nt
Filed under: uncultured bacterium
Lineage: Bacteria
Description: partial 16S ribosomal RNA
Source: RNAcentral
CUGCUGCCUUCCGUAGGAGUUUGGGCCGUGUCUCAGUCCCAAUGUGGCCGUCCACCCUCUCAGGCCGGCUACUGAUCGUCGCCUUGGUGGGCCUUUACCCCGCCAACCAGCUAAUCAGACGCGGGUCCAUCUUGCACCACCGGAGUUUUUCACACUGUCCCAUGCGGGACCGUGCGCUUAUGCGGUAUUAGCACCUAUUUCUAAGUGUUAUCCCCCAGUGCAAGGCAGGUUACCCACGCGUUACUCACCCGUCCGCCACUAAGA